AAAGGGAAGCAAAGCCGCGAGGCGGAGCGAAUCCCCAAAAGGCGUCUCAGUUCGGAUUGCAGGCUGCAACUCGCCUGUAUGAAGUCGGAAUUGCUAGUAAUCGUGGAUCAGCAUGCCACGGUGAAUACGUUCCCGGGCCUUGUACACACCGCCCGUCACACCAUGAGAGCCGGGAACACCCGAAGUCCGUAGUCUAACCUAUAUGGAGGACGCGGCCGAAGGUGGGUUUGGUAAUUGGGGUGAAGUCGUAACAAGGUAGC
RNAcentral lists this ribosomal RNA (260 nucleotides) under uncultured bacterium. Its description in RNAcentral is "partial 16S ribosomal RNA". It matches the Rfam family "Bacterial small subunit ribosomal RNA", at positions 1241 to 1500 of the family's 1533-position model. The record is from RNAcentral.